This 253-nucleotide ribosomal RNA is filed under the name uncultured bacterium. RNAcentral describes it as "partial 16S ribosomal RNA". It matches the Rfam family "Bacterial small subunit ribosomal RNA", at positions 524 to 776 of the family's 1533-position model. The record is from RNAcentral.
UACGAAGGGUGCUAGCGUUGCUCGGAAUCACUGGGCGUAAAGCGCACGUAGGCGGCUCUUUAAGUCAGGGGUGAAAUCCUGGAGCUCAACUCCAGAACUGCCUUUGAUACUGAGGGGCUUGAGUCCGGGAGAGGUGAGUGGAACUGCGAGUGUAGAGGUGAAAUUCGUAGAUAUUCGGAAGAACACCAGUGGCGAAGGCGGCUCACUGGCCCGUUACCGACGCUCAGGCGCGACAGCGUGGGGAGCAAACAGG